CCUACGGGUGGCAGCAGUGAGGAAUAUUGGUCAAUGGACGAAAGUCUGAACCAGCCAUGCCGCGUGAAGGAUGACGGCUCUAUGGGUUGUAAACUUCUUUUGUAAAGGAAUAAACCGAGAUACGUGUGUCGGUUUGCAUGUAUCGUACGAAUAAGGAUCGGCUAACUCCGUGCCAGCAGCCGCGGUAAUACGGAGGAUCCGAGCGUUAUCCGGAUUUAUUGGGUUUAAAGGGUGCGUAGACGGUUUGUUAAGUUAGAGGUGAAAGGUUGGGGCUCAACCCCAAAACUGCCACUAAUACUGGUAGACUAGAGAAUAGUUGCGGUAGGCGGAAUGUAUGGUGUAGCGGUGAAAUGCUUAGAUAUCAUACAGAACCCCGAUUGCGAAGGCAGCUUACCAAACUAUAUCUGACGUUGAGGCACGAAAGCGUGGGUAGCAAACAGGAUUAGAUACCCUUGUAGUC
RNAcentral lists this ribosomal RNA (460 nucleotides) under uncultured bacterium. RNAcentral describes it as "partial 16S ribosomal RNA". It matches the Rfam family "Bacterial small subunit ribosomal RNA", at positions 338 to 795 of the family's 1533-position model. The record is from RNAcentral.